CAGCUGUGCGUUUUAACUCAUCUCAGA
Molecule: non-coding RNA, 27 nt
Filed under: Homo sapiens (human)
Lineage: Eukaryota; Metazoa; Chordata; Mammalia; Primates; Hominidae
Source: RNAcentral